AAAAAGGCGAUUGUGCAGCAGAUGGAAACAAGUAAACGCCCGUCGAAGUAAAUAUGAAAGGUUUUUAGUCGAAAUCGAAGAAACCCCUUGGCAAGCAAAAAAAUGAAGAGACCAGCGCUAGGAAACAACAAAACACAAGGAAAGAAAAACAAAAACAAAAAUUUGAAAGUAGAAACGAAAUUAGUUGCAAUGGGGCAAGAGAAGAAGCAGCGAAUUGCUAGCAAGGAGAUGUGCUUAAACCAAGGGUGAAAGAGUGCUACGGCACGAUUACAGACUGAAAAUACGUCGAGGGAUACAAGAAAGUUGAAAUUUGAUGCCAAUAGAAGAAAAGGCAGAGGCUAUGAAAGGCAGAACGACUCGACAGACUAGACGAUUGGAAGUAAUAAGGCAAGCAGCGGUCUACGAGGCUUGAAGAGUGGAAAAUAGAUGAGAAGGAUUUUUUGUUUAAUUUAAUAAUAUUUGUGUGUCAAGAGGAAAGGAAGAAGAGCUUGAGACACGUAGAAAGAAAAAAAAAGGAGAAAAAACCGUCAACACUGACAAGGAAGAAAACAGGAGAGCUGAGAAUUCUAGUAGACAAAAGGACAAGCUCAACGAUAUGAAUUCAAG
Molecule: non-coding RNA, 606 nt
Organism: Schizosaccharomyces pombe (fission yeast)
Lineage: Eukaryota; Fungi; Ascomycota; Schizosaccharomycetes; Schizosaccharomycetales; Schizosaccharomycetaceae
Source: the annotation of a GenBank genome assembly